RNAcentral lists this ribosomal RNA (253 nucleotides) under uncultured bacterium. RNAcentral describes it as "partial 16S ribosomal RNA". It matches the Rfam family "Bacterial small subunit ribosomal RNA", at positions 524 to 776 of the family's 1533-position model. The record is from RNAcentral.
UACAGAGGGGGCAAGCGUUGUCCGGAAUCAUUGGGCGUAAAGCGCGUGUAGGCGGCUCGAUACGUCUGCUGUGAAAGUCCAGGGCUCAACCCUGGAAUGCCGGUGGAAACUGUCGAGCUAGAGUCCGGAAGAGGCGAGUGGAAUUCCUGGUGUAGCGGUGAAAUGCGCAGAUAUCAGGAGGAACACCAAUGGCGAAGGCAGUUCGCUGGGACGGUACUGACGCUGAGACGCGAAAGCGUGGGGAGCAAACAGG